Molecule: long non-coding RNA, 18898 nt
Filed under: Theobroma cacao (cacao)
Lineage: Eukaryota; Viridiplantae; Streptophyta; Magnoliopsida; Malvales; Malvaceae
Description: long non-coding RNA (TCAC_LNC001075)
Source: RNAcentral
GAAAGGAAAGAACACAAACCCUAGGUGCGAAAAUUGAAGAAAAAGUGUGGGAUUUCAAGGGAUUAAGCUAAUAAAGGUAAAAUUUUGUGAUUUUAUCUUGUUAUUUUAUCUUGUCAUUUACACUACCCAUGCUUUCUUUUUCAUUUUCCAUGCUUAGAACUCAAGUUUGCAUGAUGAACCCAUGUUGGCCGAAUUUGAGAAGAGAGGUUUUGAGCAUUGAUUUUGCUAGAUUUCAAGCCAAUUAAGUGUUUUUGGUUGUUUGGUAAUGGAAAGUAUGAAAAUCUAGCAAGGAAUCACUUUGUUCUUCACAAACCCACAAGAGGCCAAAUUUUCUAGGGAGGAUUUUGAGGCUGAAUAUUAUGAUAUUUCAUGAUAUUUUGGUGGUAUUUAAUGAUUGGUGAGGCUAGAAAUUUAAUGGGAAAUUUUGGCAUGAAAAUCUAAAUUUUACCUAAUGUAUAGGCAUGUGCGAUUUAUGGUUCGGACUGAUAAAUUGAAUCAUAUUCAUAGUCAUUAAGGUAUUUUAAGUAUAAUUGGAGUGUAGAAAGUGAAAGAAAUCGAUUUGGAGUUAAAUUGAAGGUUGUAGCCAAUUACAUCGAGAAUAGCGUGAAUUAGGUCGAAUAUCGUAUUUAAACAGCUAUUCGGACAUUUUACAUCACAUUUCGUGCAUUCAUAUAGAUUUAUAGAGCCUGAAAUAGUUUAUGAUAAAUUGACACCAUUUAUUGAAAUUCGUGUCACGUAUGAUGUAUAGGUGGUGAGCCCUUUAACAACGAUAAAGAGAUUGUGCCCGAAGACGUGGAAUAGGAGUAUAUCGAACUCCUAGUACUGUGAGUAACCUCACUAUCGUCUUAAUUAUCUAAAGUGGUUUUUAUCCGAUUUUGUGAAUAUCCUAAAAAAUGAAUUAAAUGAUUAAUUUUUCGAUUUUAUAAACCAAAUUGUGAUUUAAUGAAAUGAUUUCAUAAAAUUGUUUUAAAAUUGAAUAAUGGCUUUGAAAAUAGAGUAAUUGGAGACCAUUUGAAGUAUUGUGAAUUUAUGGUUCUAAUUGAUUGGCUUAUGACAAUAUUGGCAUGAAUGGCUAAAUUAGAAUUUGUGUUGAAAUUUAUAAACUGUUGUUUGCCUUGAUAGGUUGGAUAAUGAUAAAAAUGCCAUGUUAUGCUGUUGAAUUUUUAUUGUAUGUUGGGUUUAGCUUGCUGUAGUGGGCUGGUUCUGUGGACUAGCUUUUUAGAGGGGCACGAAACCUGGUCAUAUUCUUACCUCGGUUGGAGCGGCGAGUAGGGUAACUCGCAAGGUAUAACUUUUAGAGUUCACUUCACGCCAAACAACCAUGUGAGGGAGAACUCAGCCAACGCCAAGGAACGACUAUAUUUUCAAAAUAAAAACAUGAUUUAUGAGUACAUAACUUUUUAAUAGCCUUGGCGGACUCGGUUUGGGAUAGCCCUCGGCCAAGGUAUCACCAAUAAUUGAGUAUCAGAAUGAUUUUGGCACGAGCCAAAUCUUUUAAGAAAUUCAUAGGCCAUGUUAAUUACUCGAUUUAUAUGAAUUGAUUUUAUUUGGUUGAAACUUGUUGAAAGGUGAUGAAUUACAGUAUGUUAAACUAUUUUAUCUAUCUCCAUUUACUCAACUUUAGAUAUUUUAGAUGGUAUUUUUUACUCACUGGGAGUAUAUAAUCUCACCACCCUCUUUUCCACCAAUUUCAAGCUCAGAAUAGAUUGUAGAUAACUAAUAUCGUCAUGGACUACAGUUGGACUUGUCACAUCCAAAAACUGUAGGUUCAUUUCUUUUGAUACUUUUAGUCAUUCGUGGGCCCACGUGUUACUGUAAAUUAAAUUUUGUACUUUGGUUAUCUGUAUUACAAUAUGUAUGAAUUUAUUUAGCUUUUAUGCUACAAAAAUUAUUUAUCGGUAACUCUAUAAAUAUUGUUUUAUAAGAAAAUAGAACAUUUUAUUGAAUAUUUUUGUUAUAUUCAAAUAGAUAUAGUUUCGUUUUAAAUGAAUGUUUUAGACAUCUAAAUAUAUUUUUUAUUCUGAAAUAUAUGUUUUCCACUCGUAUACGACAUUUUUAAUUGGUUUCGAGAUUUGUGAGGAAAAAUGACCAAAAUGCCCCUGUGAGACAAAAGAAUUAUUUUUCUAUUGUUUUGAUUUGGUAAUAGUUUAUUGUCACGACCCAAAUUUCGGGCCAUUUCCGGCCCAUGGGCCCAAUGGAUGUAAUCCACUAAGCCCAAGCAAGCCUAUUAAUCUAACAUACUCAUCAUUCCAUCAUAACUACUAAGUCCUAUUUCAUAACUUAGAAUCAUAAUAAAAUUAAACAUUCGCCAACUCAUACUGGCAUAUCAAUUAAGUGUACAUUGCCUACAACAUGUAUCUUAAUAAUUUACAUCAAGUUUUUCUAUACAUCUCAAAAAAAGAAGACUUGACUUCUAGCGGAGGGACUCGGACGAAUGUAUAGCUACUGAAUGCCGAGACACCUACCAAAAGAUGGAUAUAAGUCUACAAGGACACCUCGUCCUAGUUACCUGCUGCCUCGUGAUCUGAAAACAUGAAGUUAAAAACGAUGAGUAUAAACCCAGUGAGUGAACAAGAAAGGGAACAAGCAUACCAUAAGGAAUCUUUAACGAAAUCAUGAUGCAUUCUUUUUCAGAACAAUGCAAUUUGUUUCUAUUCUUAUUAAAAACCCCUCAUCAAGCCCUUAAAUGAUUAAUCCAUUGAAAAUCAUGAACCCAUACAUAACGAACCAUUUGAAGAAUGAAAGCUUCAAUAUUACAAAAGCAAGUCAAAUACGACAAUGAGAUUGCCUUUCCGCUGCAGUGACGUUGGGAUUUGGUUAUUAGCCGAACGAGGGUUUCUCACUAAAUCUCCCCAUAUUAAACUUAACUCAUCUAAUCCUUAAUGUUGGAAGUCCAUGCUCCGAUAUGGUAGCAAAGUAAUGAAAGAUAGGGCAGCAAUUGGAGAAGAUAGGAAACCAAAACAUAAGGUUUUUCGUUGCAGUAAGAUUCUUUCUCGCUGCAGCGAAAUUGUAACCCAGAAACAGAAGGUUUCUCGCUGCAGCAAAAUUCAGCUGAUGAAACAGAGAGUUUUUCGCUGCAGCGAGAUUCCUUUUUGCUGCAGCGAGAAGCUACAGUGACUAUGUCGCUGUAGCAAAAUACAUUCUCGUUGCAGCGAGAACUAAUUCUGGUGAAGGUUCUCAAACCUGAGAGUUUCUCGCUGCAGAGAAAUAUAGGGCACCAAACGAAAAUUUCCCUUUCUCCCAAAGAAAACCACCCUGCUUGAAAUGUUCAAAACCAAUAAGAAAUGCAUAACAACUUCCCAAAGUUUAACAUACCGAAUUUCACAUACAUUACAUCCAUAUACAUAACUCAUAAAUGUAUUAUAACACACAUGUUUACGUAUAUAUACAUAUACAUAUACCCAUCACCAUCAUGCACACCAUCCCAUCAUCAUCAUCACCAACUCAUGCGCACUCCCUACUCGCACAUGGCUAGGUCAUCAUCGGGUUAUGCGCACUCCCUAAUCGCACAGAACCUGGUCAUCCUCGGCUUAUGUGCACUCCCUACUCGCACAUAGCCGAGUCAAUAUAAUUACAUAACAUUAUAUUCAAGCAUAUAUGUAUAUCAACAUAAUGCAGCCACAUAGAAAUCCAUAAUAACCACGUAUCAUAACAUAAACCAUUUCACAAGAGCUUGUUCCCAAGGCAUUCAUUUUUGAGCAAAGUUGUAUAAAAUCAUUCAAACACUUUGUUCAAAACAGUCAUAUUUUCAAAACAAUUUUGAUAGGCAGUCCACUCAUCAAUUGAUUGUUGAGCCUUUAGAUGACUCCAAUUCCUCUAAUUGUCCAAAUGAGAUGAUAGGGGUUCCUUAGAACCUAGGAUCACAUUAGCAUAAGCAAUAGGUCAAUUUUACACACUAUGAACCCUAAAAGCUAUCUUUUAGCUAGUUUUCAAUUGCCACAUUAAAUGGCCAUCUAUAUUCACUAUCUUAAUCACUAAAAGUAAUAAACAUACUCAAUAAUAAACAGCUCAUAAAUCCCAAUUACUAGCCAUUUUCUGCAGCUAAAAACCAAGCUUAAUUCAUCACUUACCCUAGGGCUCCUUUGUAGUCAAAUUCUCUCCCAAUAGCUUUCAAAUAAAUGGUGUACUUCUUUUUUUCUCUCUCUAAAAUGUCCAACUAGUGAGAGAAAGUGUGAAAACCAAAUUUUUGAAGGGUUUUAAAGUGAGAGGAUGAAAAGGCAUAAGGGUUUAUGGAAGAGUACACCAAAAGCAUGAAAAUUAAAGCUAGAGAGAGAAAGUUAUGGAAGCUUGAAGAAAACUCCCAUCGAAAAAUUGAAGAAAUGUGAGAGAGGAGAAGGGAAAAAGAAGACCAGCUGCUGAAAAUUCAACAAGGUGUUGGAAAAUUCAAGAUAUUUAUAACCAAUCUUAUCCUUUUCCUUAAAAUUACGAAAAUGCCCCUUCACCAAUUUACUUAUUCUCCUCCAAUCUUUUAUGCAAUCUUUUUGCUCUUUUAACACCAGGACAAGAUCCAUAAUGGUCUAGACAUGUUCAGGUUAAUAAAAACUUAAAAUUUUAACUCGAGGUGAAAAAUGACCAUUUUGCCCCUAUUAUGAAAAUUAUUGAAACUUCUAGUUUUCUUCGUGUUUUCACCAGCACACAUCAUUUAUGCAGUCUUAUACCCAUUUUAACCUUAAAAUAUCAUAAAACUUUCUUCUGGAAGCUUCUUAGAGAAAAUGACGAAAUUACCCCUAGCUCGUAUUAUUACAUCUAUGCUUAGUUACAAGCCUAUAGAGGUUGGGGUCUCACAUUUAUAACCUCUCAAAACAUGUUAUAUUACAACUAUUGAUCAUAGGAGAGCUGACAAAACUGAUAUUAAGGCCUUGCGAGGUUCCAAUCAGCAUUUCGAGCGAUGAAUGUCUAUCGGGACAUCGCGACGAUUGUCACGAGCUCGAUGAGAGUACCGGGUCGUGACAAUUCUAGUGGUAUCAGAGCUUUAGGUUUUAAAGUUAUUUUUAAAAACUACAGUGUUAGUGUGGCCCAAGUUAAGUUAAGUUAAGUUAGGAUUGAUAGAAUAGAAUACGUGCAUCUGCACAUAGAAUUUGGAGUUGUUUAGACUCCUUCUGUUUCUUCUUAUAGAUCUUAUGAGAGCAUAAGUCAUAGACAGGGAGCUAUAUGAACUUCUGUUUCCAGUAAUCCACUUCCUUAUUAAUGUCAUGCAAAGGUCAUAAGUAGGGUCGUUGUCCGGGUUUAAGAUGCCACCCAUGACACGAGCCAGUGUUAGAGAGAUCUUAAAAUGAAUGCUCCUAAUGAAAGAUUACUGAAAUGAUAUAUCCCUCUGAUUAAGGAUGGAGAAAUUUGGAGUUGGACUAAUAGGUCGUGAUAAUUUAUUUAUUUGGUGGAGUUAUAAUUGAACUCAUGGUUGUCAAUUGGAAAAAGAUUUGGGGACUAUGGAUUGUAUUGGGGUUAAUAUAAAUGAGCAUGUGUGAUAAUAGUAAUAAAGGGCGCACUUUGAUUAGAAUGAAUAGUGAUGGUUAUAAUUCAUUUGGAGUGUAUAAAUUAAGCAUUGAGGUAAGAGUAAACCCAUACUUAUGUGCAUGAAGUUAAGAACACUAUGUUAAUUGAGCUUGUUAUGCCCAUAUAAAAGUGGUGUUGAGAUUUUGAAAUAUUUUAUAUGUGAAUAUGUGUUGAAUAGGUACAGCAGCUUAGAGGGAACUGGUGUUGAUUUUAAUUAAGCGAUUGUGAGAUUGCAAGAAUUGUUUGGACCUAUUAUAGUUCAUGGAUAUAAGCACAUGAAUUAACUCGAGAGUGAGUAUCAAUGAUUACUAUAAUUGAUGUGUGGUCAUGAAGUAAGAAGUUAGUAACCAAAUCUGCUCUAAGGAUGAGCUUGAACUUUGCUAUGCAUAGUAAGGGGAGCCAAGGGAUUAAAGGACUAGAUGUGGAAUUGGCAGCUUGAGGUUAAAUGACUUGAAAAUGUUGAAUCUAGUUUAAGUGCCAUAUGAAGUUCUAUAAUUGAGAUUGAUAUACGAAUUACUUGAAAGAUCAAUUUAAAAGUUUAUUCGGUUCAAAGUGUGGCCUAUGAUACGAAUGAUCAGUCUUGAAGGUGAUCUCCCCAAAGUAAGGAAUUUAGAAAAUGUUGAUGUUUGGAUAUACUCUAAGAGAGAGAACUUCUGCAUCCUAAGUUUAUGACAACUUUGAUCUUAUGAUCGCAAAGGCAAGGUGUAAUAACUAAGUAAAUUAUUCACUUAAUAAAUGUGAUUGGUUAUUGAUGAAUAAAGUCAAGAUCUUAACAUUUAGUGGUAUACAAUUUGAUAAUUAUGCAUUUACGAGUUAUUUGGAGACAAUUUCUUUAUGAAAUUUGCUGUAAAUGCUACGGCAAAGGCAUAUCAAUGUUAAUAUGGAAAUGUAUUCAGGACUGAUCUUAACAUACCACCAAAGGACAAUUAAACAUGUUGAAGUUAAUGUUCUAAUAGUGUGCAUAUGAUAGAAAGCUAGUUUGUAAGUUGUAGUUUUCAUGAUCAUGAAAUAUAUAAAGAUUAUCAAUAUAUGGACAUACACUUGGAGUUGUAAUUUACAAGUUUAGAGUAUUUAAGAUAUGAUUAAAUGGAAUUAGCAUUAGUUAAGGUACGUAAAUCUUUUAAUUAAUUUUUAUGGAGUAUGCAUGAUAGUAGAAUGGAGGAACAUAGUGCCAUGAUACUAUAUGGUGAAGUUACUAUACAAUAUGGAAAGAGUAUUCUAAAGUGGGAUUUAUUGACUGAUGAUAAGUGAUGUGCAAUCUGAGAUACAUGUAGCUAUGAAUAAAUUUGGAGAUUUUUGCUUAAGCAAACUCGUACUAAAUGUUAUGGUAAAGAUAUAUGAAUGUUAGUGGCAAAAUAAAUACGUUAAAUCAAUGUUCUGAUCGUACACUUGUGAUAGAAAGUUAGUCUUGCUAAUUGUGGUAUAAACUCAGAGGGAAGCCACACGAUUAUGAAUAAUUGAGGUAGUAGCUUUAAAGGUGGAAGAGUUGCUGGGAUAAAGUGAAUUCAAACAGUUGCAAUGCUACAGUAUUGACUAUCAAACGCUAUCGCGUUAAGAACCCCUAAUGACUAGAAAGUAAGAGCAAACUGUGAGCGGCAUAAAGAUGAAACUCAUGAGUUGAAAUAUGGUUAUUGGUUUUGAUGCUAAGCUUUGUUGUUUGGAGUCUUAAGUGCAUUGGGGAGGUAUUAAGAUAAAGAUGAUGAGUGAAAUUGCAGAGUUUCUUUAUUGCCUUAUGUAUGGGCAUGUAAGAGAAAGAAAAGUUAAAGAGUUUUUGAGAUGGAUACAAAAAAAAAUAAUAAUAAUAAUAAAUAAAUUAACAUGUGGAGUAUUAAGAUGAAUAAUAUGUUGACUAAAGUCAAAUCUUAAGAAAUAAAGUAAAUCUUGUAAAAGGGUAAAGAGGAAGUGAGGGAAAGGUUAGAUGAAUAUAUGAGAUGUUGAUAAGAGAUGUCAAUACCAAGUGAUGAGAGUGUGAAUGGAGAUUUCAAGAAUGAUAUAGCAAAUGAGUUUAUAUAGAAUAUUGUUAUGACAAUUUACUAAUCUUGUCUUGACCUUGUUGAAAGGAAAGGAUUAGUGACAACAGAAGUAAACUACGGGGUAUGCUAGAAACCCUUGGAAAUAAGUUGAAGCAUGAGUAGUUAAGCAUGCAUGUAAAUAUUUUGGUGAGCAAGUGCAUGUCUUUAUGGAAAUGAUAUACUUGGAGUAUGAAAAAGCAAAUAAGUGAUUAAGUGUUUCAAGAAUGUUUAAACACUUUUGAGAAAGAAUUAUAAGUUAUACAUGACGAGCAUAAGAUGCGUGACUUUGAAACUUGUUAAGGAGCCAAACGGCUCAGUCUUGGGUUAAGUGAUCACCUGAUGUGAGACAUAAGUUUAAGAUAGAUAUCCCUAAGGAAAUACUCAAGAAAAGUUCUGCCCUGGAUCUCAUGAAAGCAAGCACUAAGUUAUGUGGAUAUAAAAAGGAAGCUGUAAGCUGAGAGUGAUAUUAGUAUUAAUAUUGAAAAGUUCUUGAGGAGAAUCUAGUUUCAAGACUUGUAAUUUCAAGUACAAUUUGUAAAAUGGUUAAGGAAGAAUGAUGCUAUAUUGUGUGAGAGAGUGGAACAAAAGAUGAUAGAAGUUGACCUUGAUAAUGAAGUCGGAUAAUGAAACUUUCCUAAUAUAUUAUGAAAAUUGUAAUUCAAAAAUGCUUGAGGCAUACGUGAUUCAAAUGAGUCUGAGUUAUAAGUGACAAAUCAAUAUGGGAAUGCAUGAAAGAUACAAGGUAAUGUACAGGUAUGAAGGAUAAUCGAGGAAAAAGGAUGACUCCUAGGAAUUGUGGUAUUGCAUAAGAUGCAAUGAUCAAGUUAAGAUAAAUCUUGGAGGCAUCAAUGGGAUUAUAAAGCAUACAUGCAUAAUAGAUUAUAAUUCAAUGGAGAAGACAUUAUGAUGCAAUGAUAUAUAGUACAAGAAGACUUAAGCAUAUAAUUGGAAAUGAUAAGAAGAGAGUAUAAGUAUGUAAAUGAUGUGGAACUAUGCAUAAGCAUGAUGAGAAUUUGUAUGAAAUAUGAAGAUUAUUCUAUUGAAUCUUGGUUAUGGAUGAGAAUGAACAAAGAGAAAGUAGUCUAAAGGCAUUUGAAAAUAGAGACCCGUGUACAUAAUAAGGAAUAUGGACAUUUGAAUGUGCGUGUAUACCUAUGUGUGGAGUUAGUGAUGUACCGAACUAAAAUGAAGAAUGGUUUUAGUGGUUCGAGAUCUGAACUCAAUAUAUUUGAUGAGUUGUAUAGAUAAUGUAAUGAUCCAAAAUCAUAUCAGAAGUCGAUUUGUGACGACCUAAGGAAUUUUGGGGAAAUAGUUAAGGGAAUGUAAUCUAUAGUGCGAAUAAGCCAUAUGAGAUGGAUUAAUAGGAUUAAGAAGAUUGAAAUUUCCUAAAUGUAAGGUAAAUAUGAAGUAUGUGGAAAUAAUUGAAGCCAUUAAUCUUCCCUAACGUUGAGGAUAUGUAUAAGAAUGAGUGUGGCAUGUUAAUGAUGCCGUAAACUAUACAAUAGUGUAUAAGGAGAGAAUGAAUGAAUGAAUGAAAGUCUAGAAGUUCUAUAUGGAAUGAAGUAAUAAGAUAGUGAUUGGUAUACCUAAAUAAGUAUAAAAUGCGAUCGAAAUUGGUAUGAUUGAGAUGAAGCUAUGGUUCAAGUUUAAUGAUAGUAAUAGAAGCAUCCUUGGUGUCUUGAUAUAAGAGAUCAUAAUUGUGAAGGUUACUGUUGAUAUGAUUUUAAAGGAUAAUAAUAGACAUAAGUGAAGUACUCAAGUUGAAUUGGAGGUAAAUGAGGUGAAGAAAUCGAAAUUCCCUAUAAAGGGGAGGACAUAAGAAGUGGAGCAUUAGAUGAGAAAACAGUACCCCUACCUUUUCUCUGAGCUCAGUAAAUAAAAUUUUGAGGUUAAAAUUUUAUUUUAAGGGGGGUAGCACCGUCAAGCUCGACCUUAUAAAGUACUUGCCAUGUCCUUCAUGUGAUUGACAAUAUGCUUGCAUACUUGGAAAGCCCCGAAAAAUCGUCAAAAGUCAAUAUUGUGCCAAAUGGUACUAUUAAGUUGAAUUAAGCCUCGAACUAGUCUAAAUAGAGAUCUUAAGAUGAAAUUGAGAAUUUUAAAACCCCAGCAUGACUUAAAAUGAUGAUUUGGAGUUCGAGGGUUGAAUUGGAGUUAAUUUGGAAUUUUCAUGUUCUAGAGGUAAAAUGGUAAUUUUAUCACCCGAGGAUAAAAUGGAAAUUUUUAGAAAAGAUUUUGAUCACAUUUGACUCAUUGGAGUAUGAUUUGAGUUUGAGAGGUGAAAAAUUUUAAUUUAGACAUUUUUAGAGUCCUAGGGGUAAAACGAUAAUUUUACAAGUUUACGGGGGCAAAGUUAGAAUUUUGGACCUAACACUUGUCAUGCCCAUGGAUUUCAGCCAUUAACAUUUUGCAUUGUGGAUAAUUGAAACAUUUUAAGUGAUGGAUAGAGAUUGCUUAAUGGGUAAGUAUUACACAUGGACCAAUGGAAACAUGCCAUGUGUCAAGCUUGGAUUAUUCUAGAAUUUCCUUGUAAAAUCUAUUUAAAACUCUCUUAGUCUAGCCCAUAUGGGCGGCCAAAGCAUGAAGUGAAGAGGAAAGGAAAGAACACAAACCCUAGGUGGGAAAAUUAAAGAAAAAUUAUGGGAUUUCAAGGGAUUAAGCUAAUAAAGGUAAAAUUUUGUGAUUUUAUCUUGUGAUUUACACUACCCAUGCUGUCUUUUUCAUUUUCCAUGCUUAGAACUCUAGUUUGCAUGAUGAACCCAUGCUGGCCGAAUUUGAAAGGAGAGGUUUUGAGCAUUGAUUUUGCUAGAUUUCAAGCUAAUUAAUUGUUUUUGGUUGUUUGGUAAUGGAAAGUAUGAAAAUCUAGUAAGGAAUCACUUUGUUCAUCAUAAACCCACAAGAGGCUGAAUUUUCUAGGGAGGAUAUUGAGGCUGAAAUUGAUGAUAUUUCAUGAUAUUUUGGUGGUAUUUAAUGAUUGGUGAGGCUAGAAAUUUAAUGGGAAAUUUUGGCAUGAAAAUCCAAAUUUUACCUAAUGUAUAGACAUGUGCGAUUUAUGGUUUGGACUGAUAAAUUGAAUCAUAUUCACAGUCAUUGAGGUAUUUUAAGUAUAAUUGGAGUGUACAAAGUGAAAGAAAUCGAUUUGCAGUUAAAUUGAAGGUUUUAGCCAAUUACAUCCAGAAUAGUGCGAAUUAGGUCGAAUACCGUAUUUAAACGGCUAUUCAGACAUUUUGCAUCACAUUUUGUGCAUUCAUAUAGAUUUAUAAAGCCUGAAAUAGUUUAUGAUAAAUUGACAUAAUUUAUUGAAAUUCGUGUCACGUAGAUGUAUAGGUGGUGAGCCCUCUAACAAGGGUAAAGAGAUUGUGCCCGAAGACCGAGAAUAUGAGUAUAUCGAACUCCUAGUAUUGUGAGUAACCUUACUAUCAUCUUAAUUAUCUAAAGUGGUUUUUAUCCGAUUUUGUGAAUAUCCUGGAAAAUGAAUUAAAUGAUUAAUUUUUUGAUUUUAUAAACCAAAUGUGAUUUAAUGAAAUGAUUUCAUAAAAUUGUUUUAAAAUUGAAUAAUGGCUUUAAAAAUAGAGUAAUUGGAGACCAUUUGAAGUAUUGUGAAUUUAUGGUUCUAAUUGAUUGACUUAUGACAGUAUUGGCAUGAAUGGCUACAUUGGUAUUUGUGUUGAAAUGUAUAAACUAUUGUUUGCCUUGACAGGCUGGAUAAUGAUAAAUUUGCCAUGUUAUGCUGUUGAAUUUUUACUGUAUGGUGGCUUUAUCUUGCUGCAGUGGGCUGGUUAUAUGGACUAACCUAUUAAAGGGGCACAAAACCUGGUCAUAUUCUUACCUCGGUUGGAGAGGCGAGUACGGUAACUCCCGAGGUAUAACUUUUAGAGUUCACUUCAUGCCAAACCACCACGUGAGGGUGAACUCAGCCAACGCCAAGGAACGGCUAUAUUUUCAAAAUAAAAACAUGAUUUAUGAGUACAUAACUUUUUAAUAGCCUUGGCGGACUCGAUUUUGGAUAGCCCACGGCCAAGGUAUCCUUGAUAACUGAGUAUGAGAAUGAUUUUGGCACGAGCCAAAUCCUUUAAGAAAUUCAUAAGCCAUGUUAAUUACUCGAUUUAUAUGAAUUGAUUUUAUUUGGUUGAAACUUGUUGAAAGGUGAUGAAUUACAGUAUGUUAAACUAUUUUAUCUAUCUCCAUUUACUCAGUUUUAGAUAUUUUAGAUGGUAUUUGUUUACUCACUAGGAUUAUAUAAUCUCACCACCUUCCUUUCAACCCAUUUCAGACUCAAAAUAGAUUGUAGAUAACUGAUACCGUCGAGGACUACAGUUAGACUUGUCACAUCCAAAAACUGUAGGUUCAUUUUUUUUGAAACUUUUAGUCAUUCGUGGGGCCACAUGUCACUGUAAAUUAAAUUUUAUACUUUGGUUAUCUGUAUUAUAAUAUGUAUGAAUUUAUUUAACUUUUAUGCUACAAAAAUUAUUUAUCUGUAACUCUAUAAAUAUUGUUUUAUAAAAAAAUAGAAUAUUUUAUUGAAUAUUUUUGUUAUAUUCAAAUAAAUAUAGUUUCGUUUGAAAAGAAUGUUUCAGACAUUUAAAUUUAUUUUUUAUUAUGAAAUAUGUGUUUUCCACUCGUAUACCACAUUUUUAAUUGGUUUCGAGAUUUGUGAGAAAAAAUGACCAAAAUGCCCCUAUGAGACAAAAGAAUUAUUUUUCUAUUGUUUUGAUUUGGUAAUAGUUUAUAGCCUCUCAAAACAUGUUAUAUUACAACUGUUGAUCACAGGGGAGGUGAGAAAACUGAUAUUAAAGGCUUAAGAGGUUCCAAUCGGUAUUCUAGACGAUGAAUGUUUAUAGGGACAUCGCGAUGGUUGUCACGGGCUCGAGGAGAGUACCGGGUCGUGACACAAUUGAUCUCGUAGAUUGAAGUGUAGAGAUACUUGGAACUAGAAUAUAGGUGCUUGCCUAGGAGAGUAAGUUCACUGAACAUGACCCGCCAUGAGAAGUGCAUUUGGUAAUACACUCUAGUGUCUAUGCAACACUUCUCAUGUGUCAGUUGUGUAAAUAUUUCUUAAGCUUGAGACGCCAGGUUAUCUUAUGUGUGGAGUGCUAUGCUUUGAUUUCAUCCCUAUGGGUGCCUAACCAAGGAUGCCAAAGUAGAAUGCUUUUAGGUAUAGUAUGAAGCAUGUGAAGGCAAAUGAGUGGUCAAGAUAGGAAUCAUCACAUCGAGUGUUUUAGAAAACAUAUCUUAUCAGUUCUUUGUUAACAUUAGCUCAUUGAAGUCCUUGGCCAAGGUGACAUGGAGAUUAUGAAAAAGGUUUCAUAACUCUCUAUAGAGCUAAUGCUAUAAUUACAGGAACAAAUAUGGAGGUCAAUAAGAGUAGACACUAUACCAAGCUCUUAUCAUCUCCGGGAUAUAUGAUGAGGGAAUGAAUUACACUGAUAGACUGUACACUGAAAGGUUGUCAAAGAACCCUUUGACUCUCCCAACAAUUGGGUGGCCAUGAUGCAUUGCUAUAGGCCAAUCUUGGUCUAUGGAAUUGAUUGAAAUUUAUAUUAAUCAAUUAAGUCAUUAAUCAAUUCCAUUGCCAACAUGUUGGGAACCUUAUGGGCCACACGCAAUGAUUGCAUUUGAAUUAAAUUGGGAGAGUGACGAUUUAAGUUAGACUUAAAUCACAUGCUAGGUAAUUAACUUCUAUAAACUUAAUUAAAAGAGUUUAAUUAAGUUUUUGGCAUAAUUAUAAAUAGUUAUAAUUAUCAGGCCUUGAUUGCAAAAUAUAAAGGAAAUUAAUUUUUAUUUUAAUUUCCAAGGACUUAAUUAAAAGAGUUUAAUUAAGUAAUGGGCCUAAUAUUAUAAUGUGUUAUAAUAUUGAGGGCUUAAUUGCAAAAUUGAAGUUAUUUUAACCUAACUAUAUAAGUGACCUUUUAACUAUUUUCCACAUGAGAGUUUUUCACAAUUUAUGAAAAUGUAGUUUUUGUUAGAAAAAGAAAAUCGUUUUUUUCUUUGCCACCACUCCCUUUGUGUGAAAGAGAAAAUUGCUUAUGAAGCAAUUUUCAAGAGAGGUUCGGCUAAGAUUGUGAAAAAGAAGAAAAGGGCAAUUGUUGUCCUUUUUGCUAGCACAAAGUAUAGUUAAAAACUCCUUCCUUUGUUGAAGGUUCAAAUGCAUUCGUGUGUACUACCAUUGGAGGCCAAGCACUUGAUUGGCUAGGGUUUUUGUUCCUUGUGGUAUUCAAGGGAUUGCUUCAAAAAGUGCCAUCGUGAUUACAGAAUUACAUGGCAAGGUAACUUUCUAAACAAAAAUUUAUUUUGUGCUUUUAUGUGUUAGAUAUCACCAAGGUGAUCCAUGGGUGGAGGCAUGUUUUGUUGUUUAGUUAUAAAGUUUUUAAUUUUCUUUCCGCUGCGUAUUUUGAGCAUGCCAUCCAUAGCCAAACCCAUCAAUUACUCACCUUGGUGAACUUGUAGUUGAAUCCUUUAGUAAGGAUUAAAGAGGGAAAAUUCUUUUAAGGGUUUUCUCAAGCUAAUUUGAAGAGUUUCUCUCUCUAAAAUGUUAAACUAGUGAGAGAAAGUGCUAAGGGAAGACUUUUGAGGAUCUUUGAGGUGAAAAAGUGAAAGAGCACAAAGAAUCCUAUGAAAAAAUGUACAAAAGCAUGAGAAUUGGAGUUAAUUUGAGAAAGUUAUGGAGGUUUCAAGGGUGGCCUCCAUGGAAGAUGGAAAGUUUGGAAUGGAUAGGAGGGAUGGGAAGAAGAAGAAGUUGCUGGAAAAUUAGAUAUUUAUUUCUAGGGUUGACUAAAGUUCCACCUAUUUACAAAAAUGCCAUUACAUAGUUGACUUUGCCUUUUUCUUUCCUUUUGCUCAAAUUUUUUACUCUUUUGACACUAAGAAAAGGUCCAGAAUAGAUUAGAGGUACUCGAGUUCAUGAGAACUUAGAAAUUUAGACCUAUGACCCAAAAUGACCAUUUUGCCUUUAUUAUGGAAAUUAUCAUUAUUUCUAUUUUCUUCAUUUAUUUCAUUAUUAUAUAUAUCAUUCAUUUAUUCCUUAGGCCUACUUAGACCUUAAUAAUAUCAGAAAAACCCACUUCUAGGAGCUCACUAAGAAAAUGACAGAACUACCCCAAAUCCACGUCAAUGUGUUUACCUCCGCUACACGUCUAUGAAGGUCGAGGUUUCACAAUUUUGUGCUAAGCAACUAUGGUGUGCCUAUAGAGCCUAGCUUAGUGAUGGCUUUAAAGGUUUCAUAAUAUUUAUGGAGAUGUAGAUUAAAUUAAUCUUGAAUGUGGAGAUACCAUUUAAGAUGUGAUCAUGACGAGAUAUGAUAUGAUGAGGUCAGCACAUAGGAUAUUAGGAUGAUCCUUGCACCUUUAUAUGUGGAGAUGUUUGAUAAAUAAGCAUGUUUGCCUUAUGACUAGAUAUGUCUCUAUAAAUUUACAUAUAAGUGCUUAUGAUUAUAUGUUAGCUUCCCCCUCACUGAGUAUUAGAUGACUGACCUUUCUGUUAUACCAUGUACAAAUAAUUGAAGCUACAAGAUUGCGUGGCUAACAUUGUCUCUUGAUAGACAAAUUUUAGCAUCCGAUAGUUUUCCUAUUUGACUAGUCCACUUCGCUAAGUCCGAGUUACGAUAACUUUCGCUUCUGGUUUUGGUUUCCCAACCGUGUUUGCUUGGGAUUUGUGUAGGCACGGCAUGCCAUAUGUUAUUAUGUUAAGGGCUUGUUUGGGAUGAACUCGCUUGUUAGCUGAUGUAUGGCUUGUGAAUGUCAUGUUAAAUAUUGAGAAUGAACUAAGUGCCAAAGGGCACUGUUUAUGCAUUUGAAUUUUUAGUUAUAAUGCAAAUAUGCUAAUGUGCAGAACUUUUGAAUAUUUAAUUUGAUUUGAAUUUUCGAGGCUUGUGCGAUUUUGUGAGCUUUGACUGUUGGACUUGUGCAUUGGUCAGGCCUCCCAGAUUUGGGUCGUGACAGAGACCAACAGGUGGUUUUCUAAACCUUAGAUACAUGAUAUGAGAUAUUGGGACUUACCCCAUAUAGGUUUGAUUAUAUUGGGGAUGAUUGGUAUUUCAUUCUGUUUAAAAUUAUGGCAUGUUUUGUAACAUUUUGUUUUAAUAAAAACUCUUUUGUUAUGGCUUGAUUCCCUCCGUAUCCACCCAUUGAGUUAUGAAAGACUCGUCCAAUUAAUUGUUGCAUUGUGCAGAUAAAUAGAAUGUGGGAUUUGAGUGGCUAGCGUCGUCUUCUAGACAUACACUUUUAACAUCUAGUAAGCAUUCUUCAUCUAUUGAGUCCACUCAACUGAGUUUGAAUUCGAGUUUGUUUCCAUUUCCCAUUUUGGCUUUCAAAUAAACUAUAUUUCAUACUUUAUUUUCUUUGUUCGGAUUAUGUAGGCACUACAUUGCCAUUUGUUUCUAUUAACUGUUGUACAGGAUGAACUCGCUACGCUGGCCAGUGUAUGUCUUUGAGAAUAUUGUGUUUAAGACACCUAGUGUAAUUAUAUGCCAACAGGGUCAGGGUUUAUGUUGUUUGAAUCUAUGUUAUGUUGUAUAUAUAUUGUGGCUAUAGGGCCUUUCAUUUUUAUGUUUGUGGGUAGAUAUUUUUGAGGCUUACACGGGCCUCACGGGCUUUGUUUGUUGGACUUGUGCAUCGGUCAUAACCUUUAAGUUCGGGUUGUGAUAGAAAAUUUAAAAUUCCACUCAAUCAUUUUUCAACAAAACUUUUCGUUGGUAAUUCCAUCAAAAAUAAGAAGAAUAAUCUGUUGUAAAUUAAAAGGGACAUCAUUAAAAAAACAUAAUUUUUGUUGAAAAUUCUAUGGGAAAUGUCGACGAAAUCCAUCAGAAAUAUGAAUGAAUUCAAUCAAGAUUUUGCCCCAAACAUGGUCCUUCCAUCAGAAAUUUUAUUGGAAAUCAAUUAAAAUAUGAAAAAUAUGUAACACCCCAUACUCCCGUAUAGUAGUCAACAUAACCGUAUCGAUAAGACGAAGGGCUAAUUGACGUGGAUUUAAGUGUCAAAGAGUGGUGGCGGGUGAAAGGAAUAUUCUAAAGUAAAAUAUUUCGCACGCGAGGAAAUAACAAUUAAAUAAUAAUAUUUUUAUUGAGGAUGAAUUAGUGAUAUAAAAGGUGAUUUGGAAGUGAAUCGGGGCAUAAUAAGACAUUUUAGGUUCCAAGAAGACAAGUGAAAAAUCUUAAGAUAAAAUAAUAUUUUAUUAAUAAAAUAAUAUUAAAAUAUUAAUAUUUUAUUUGAUAUCGAAAUUAGUCAUGAAGGAGGAGUAUAUGGUCAAUUUAAGUAGGGGAGAAGAACAAUGAGGGAAAUUCGAAGAAAAACGACGUUAGUGGGGCUCGCGUGCCUUUAUUAAAUAAAGCUAGCAUGGGUAAGUAUAUAUUUAAAUAUUAUGGUGAUACCUCAUUGAAGUGCAAACUUUAUAUUUUAUUUGUACAAGUGUAAAGGAAGAAAAAUAGAAGAAAUUGGAAUUAAAAGAUUGUUUGGAGGACUAAAUUAAAAAGGGGAGAAACAUGGCCCAAAUGGUAAUUUUUCCAUUAACUUGGUCAAAGCUUCCAAAGGAAGCUUUGACUCUUUUCUUCUUUUUCCAUAGCAGAUCCUUAUCUUGGAAGCUUUGACUCUUUUCUUUUUUUUCCAUAGCUGGUCCUUAUCUCCCAAAAGGCAUUUUUCUUCUUCAUCUUCUUCCUCUAAUGCCAUUUUCCUCUCUUCACCAUGAAAAUCAAAUUUUUUUUUCAUUUUCUUUUCCUUCCUUUAUUUUCCUUUCCUUUCCUUUCUUACUUCUUCUGUCACGACCCGAUACUCUCUUCGAGCCUGUGACAACCGUCGCGAUGCCCCGAUAGAUAUUCAUUAUCGUGAAUGCCAAUUGAAACCUCACAAGGCUUAAUAUCAGUUUUCGCACCUCCCUUGUGAGCAAUAAUUACUAAAUAUCAUAUUUUAAAAGAUUAUAAGCUAUUUUCAAAUCAAAACAAUAAUAAAAAAAUAUUUUCUGUCACACAGGGGCAUUUUGGUCAUUUUUCUAAAAAUUUUGAAACUUGCUGAAAAUAUAAUGUAUAAGGGAAAAUACACAUUUCAUAACUAAAAACAAGUUUUUAUGUCUAAAACAUUUAUUGAGGGUGAAAUUGUAGCUAAUAGAAUAAAAUAAAAAUAUUAAAUGAAAUAUUUCAUUUUCUUAUAAAACAAUAUUUAUAGUACUCUGUGUAAAUAAUUUUUGUAGCGUAAAAGCAAAAUAAAUCCAUACAUACAGUAACACAAAAAACCAGAGUAUGUAAUUAAUUUACAAUGACGUGUGGGCCCCCAAAUGACCAAAACUAACAAAGGUUGUGGACCUAUAAUUUCUGUGGAGGCGAGUCCAAUAAUAACCCUCGAUGUAAUCAGCUAUUUACGAGCUGUCCUAAUCCUGGAAUGAGUGGAAAGGAGGGUGGUGAGUUUAUAUAAACUCAAUGAGUAAACAAACAUCAUUUAAAAUAUCUAAAGUCGAGUAAAUGGAGACAACUUAAAAUAGUUCAUCGUACUAUGAUUCAUAGCGUUUCAAACUCAUUUCAACUAAAUAAAAUAAUUUCAUUUCACUCAAAUAAUCAACAUGGCUUAUGAAUUUCUUAAAAAUUUGGCUCGUGCCAAAACUCAUUCUCAGGCAUACCUUGGCCAGGGCAUCCAACCGAGUCCGCCGAGGCUAUUAAAGAAAAGUUCAUAUAUGCAUAAAACACAUUUUUACGUUUAAAAGCAUAGCCGUUCCUUGGCGUUGGCUGAGUUCACCCUCACAUGGUGGUUUAGCGUGUAGUGAACUCUAAAGCUUUACCUCAGGAGAUACCCUUCGCGCCUCUCGUACUGAGGUAAAAUAUAACCGGGUUUACCGUGCCCCUCUCUAAUAGGCUAGUCCACGAAAACCCACCACUGCAGUGACUAACCACCAAAUCAAUAAAAGUUUCGACAGCAUGACAUGGCAAUUAUAUUACUACCCAGCCUGUUAAGGCAAAACAAACAGUUCAUACAAUUUGAACACAAUUUCCAAUUCAGCCAUUUAUGCCAAUAUCACCAUAAGCCAUUCAAUUCAAACCAUAAAUUUACAACACAAUCAAAUAGUUUCCAAUUACUCAAUUUCUAAAAUCAUCAUUCAAUUUCAAAAUGAUUUAUAAAACUCAUUUCAUUUAAUCACAUUUUACUUAUAAACAUAAGGAUUUACCAUUGAAACUCAUUUUUCUAUAAAAUCACAAAAACGAAUAAAAACUACUUUAGAUAUGUAAAACCCGACCCUAUAAACACAUGUCAUGACAUGCAUGCACUGAGUAGUAUGUUAUUAUGCUAGGAAAGCAUCUAAGAAUAGACGAAAUCCGGUAUCGUACCUAAUGGUACACUUGAGUUGAUUUAACCUCGAUCUAGUUCAAAUAGGAAUUGUAGGAUGAAAUUUGAUAUUUUAUAGUCCAGCAAUGACUAAAA